AUUGCCUCCCGAAUAACCAAAGGGUGGAAUUUUGAUACGACACCAUUUGGUUCAGACAGAGGCAGAUAGCAUCUUGAAGCGGUUUGAGGGUGGGGAACCUUUUUAUGUUCUUUUCCUAGACAGCUUCGUAUAUUU
Non-coding RNA from Morus notabilis, 135 nucleotides. Lineage: Eukaryota; Viridiplantae; Streptophyta; Magnoliopsida; Rosales; Moraceae. The record is from Rfam.